This is a long non-coding RNA of Symphalangus syndactylus (siamang), 1068 nucleotides long. RefSeq lists it as uncharacterized. NCBI's taxonomy places the organism in Eukaryota, Metazoa, Chordata, Mammalia, Primates, Hylobatidae. The record is from RefSeq and is a predicted model, not a curated record.
GGAACAUCAAAUGUCCCUCUGCCUAUCAUCCCAAAUGGAGAGAGAAGAUGAUAAAGGGAAUUAAAAUGCUACAACUGCAAUAACCGCUAUAUAAAUAAAUCAAGCUGCUUUUUGGAAGAAGACAUUGGAAAAAGGGAUACGUUUCAAAUAGUGGGUGAAUGUUGAAGACACAUUCCAAAUCCAAACUUGUAUAUUCUAUAUAUUGAAGAAAUAGAGUGAUACACACUAGGUCGUGCAUCGGCAGGACAAAAGUGGCUCCUUUUUAUUGAGGGAGAUAAUAGAAAAAUAAAUGCUAGGAAGUUUUUCAAAGGAGAUCAAAAGGUGCAGUGAUUAAUGACUCUGAUGUACUUCAAAAUGACAAUUCUUCAAGCAAGUAGGUUUGGGUUUCAAGUAAUUAACCUAACACUUGAACAAUGGACUGUUACAAAAUAUAAUGAAGAGAAUUACAUGGCCGGCAGUGAGGAUUGUGUCAAAUCUCAUCAGUCAUCUACAACCACUUUCUCUGACCCUUUCUGCAUCAUUGAAUUUGACUCCCUUUCUUCCCAUACUCUCCUUGGAGGACCUAAGAGGAAAUGUGGAUGGGCAGACAAAACAGAAAACUAAAGGAGGGAAGAUAGUCCAAGAAGAAAGCAUUUGGAGAAGAGCUACACAUGCUCAACUGAACUUCCUGUCAAAUUGUUCCCACUCGUUUUGGCACAAGUCUGCUUAGGCCAUCUCUCAUUAACAUUUACUCUUGCCCUGAGCCCUCUAUGCCCCCAACCCCUGCUAAUCUUCCACAAGCAAGCUGAUCACACCGGGAUUUGCUUUUCCCAGACACGUUUGAUUCUCACUUUCUCCUGAACCUAGAAAUGUGCUUCCCACCAAAGCAUGCCAGGCACUAACUCAUCCCUACUGAAAGGGGCUGUUAAAAGCCCAUCUUCUUCCAAAUGGUAGUGAGGUGAUCCUUUUUCUUUCUUUUUUCUUUUUUUACUUUUAGCUACUCCUCAAUUCUGAUGUUCAGUAACAAUGUAUUCCACUUAAAAAAGGGAAAUCAUAUUAAUUAUUCUAAGAUAUAAACACUUAAUUUUA